UACGUAGGGGGCAAGCGUUGUCCGGAUUUAUUGGGCGUAAAGAGCUCGUAGGCGGCUGAUCGCGUCGGGUGUGAAAGCCCCGGGCUCAACCUGGGAAUUGCAUUCGAGACUGCAUUGCUGGAGUACGGAAGAGGAAGGCGGAAUUCCCGGUGUAGCGGUGAAAUGCGUAGAUAUCGGGAGGAACAUCAGUGGCGAAGGCGGCCUUCUGGUCCAGUACUGACACUCAAGUGCGAAAGCGUGGGGAGCAAACAGG
This 253-nucleotide ribosomal RNA is filed under the name uncultured bacterium. Its description in RNAcentral is "partial 16S ribosomal RNA". It matches the Rfam family "Bacterial small subunit ribosomal RNA", at positions 524 to 776 of the family's 1533-position model. The record is from RNAcentral.